RNA transcript from Daphnia carinata, 2377 nucleotides. RefSeq lists it as uncharacterized. Lineage: Eukaryota; Metazoa; Arthropoda; Branchiopoda; Diplostraca; Daphniidae. The transcript has 4 exons. The record is from RefSeq and is a predicted model, not a curated record.
GUUGAAUACUUUGACAUGACUUAAAGACGCCUAACCGUAGAGGCAGUACUUUUAAUCAGGCCGUAAUCGAGAUUUUGGGAUGACAAAGUUGAGCUAGAAUUCAAGAAAAAUAAUGUAAAAAUCUUCAAAAAAGAUGGCUAUGUAAACCAUUCAAUACAUAAAAAUCGUAUUGGUCUUAUCCUACGUUUCUCUGGGACUGCAACUGAUGGACAAUCUUUUUAUUUGACCAUUCAGCUUGUUGAAUAACUGAGUUUACAGUGUAGUGACAGGCAAGACAACAGCUAGACGACAACAACGAAAAAACUUAACAUCAACAUUGAAAACAAGAUAGAUGCCAAAAAGCCUCUGUUUCUACUCCAAAGAAUAAUUUUUGAGCAAGGAGAGAUCAUUGAUGACGGGAACACGUGAUCCUCCGCAAACAGCUGAGUAAACCAAAGUUAUUUAAAAUGGCAAAGAAGUUUGUGAAAUUGGGUUCGCUUGAAGAAAUCCCUUCAUUGAGGCUUAUUUUACUCGGAUUGGUUGAGGCUGAAUGCAUCCCCUAUCUUGAACGACCAAAACUUAUUCACAAUUCAAAAAGUCAUGAGAAAAUCACCUCCAUAGAAGCUAGUCCAGCACUCAUAUCAUGUAGAAGAUCCCGAGUUUGGCUCAGUUUGCGGAUAACCAAACAUAUAUUGCAUUGUGAUCCAGAUCGGGCGUUAAACUUCCGGAAUUACAGAACUCGACACCCGAAAAGCUGUUUGAACAACCUGACAGAAUUAGCCAUAAGCUCUGUCAUUCGACCGAGAGUCGGUAGAUGUCUCGCAGCAAGACGAUUGGAACGGCCGGCUGAUUUGUACGCUUUGCUAAAGAGCACCUCAAGUUUGUAACUCUGUAGAAGAACUUGCUAAAAUCCUAGAAGAAUGCCCAAAUCAUCGAAUUCUUUGGUCUUACGGAAAAAAGGUGGAGACGGAGUAGAUUUGGACAGGUAUUGCCCAAGCUGCACCCAUUCUCUGAUCACCAUGGCAACCGUACAGUACACACAGUAUUGUCAACUCUAUCCGGCAGUACAUGAAUGGCGUGUUAUUAUCAAUCCAUUGUAACAAUGUAAGUCCUGAUACGAAUGCCAACACCCACAGUUUAUUGCGACCAUUGCUCGUCUGGCAGUUCAAGAUGUACGCAGCAACAAGCAAAAGGAAUCAGCAGAAGAUUUGAUACAAGCACCGAUGACGGAUGAUUGGACGUUUGAUCGCUUCCGCAAGCUUGCCCUUAUCCCCCAGCGACUUGCAAAAAAUGAAAAUGGAACGACAAAUGCGAUCGCGGAGUGGAUUCGCUGGCGGGGAAAUCGAAUCGAUCAAUCCAUCGCAGAGGCUUUUCUCUUCUUCAUCUUGCGUGUUUUCGCCAGACGAAGGACAUCCGACUCGAUUGAGCAACAUCCUCCGCGAUCCGCCAAUAGCCAAAGAACUCAAUGAUCGCAUAAUUGUUUGAGAUUACAUCCCGACGUUGUCGCCAUUAUCACUUGGCUUCCCUCUACAAGCUGCGGACGUGACAGCUUAUCCUUUUCAAGAAUGCCUCUUGCACGGGAACAGUUUUAAUACUGACGACUUCGUAAACUAUGCUAUUCUACUGGAACUUCAACUUGCCUGGGCCUACCCUUUAAAUAGCGGAAUGUUUUGCCAAGAUAAUUUUGCCAAAGACAAGCUUGCAAGAUAUUUUUGGUGGACGUGUUCCAGUAGGCUGGAUAGCGUCCUUACCGCAAUGUUUACUGCUAUUGAAUAGCCAGAAAUUGCGCUAGCAAAUACCGGACAUUAUUGAAACCUUAUUACGAAUGAUCGCUAGCAUCGCAGUUUCAAAUCCUUUGCCCAUUUGGCUCACCCCAGACAAAUCAUUUUUAUUUUGCCAUGCAGCAGGUUGAAGGUUCCGAUUGGGAUGGAACUCCUGCCGAGUUCAAAAUGGAAAAUCUUGGCCAUGUAUUAUUAAUUGCUGCACCACUCGCCAAAAUGCAAGCCUUUUCAUUUGUGCAUAAUUGUGGGCAAUGUCAUAUCGUGCCAUUAGCGAGUAAUAAUGCAGGAAAUCCAAAUGAAUUUCACCAAAGAUUUAAGUUAUUCACGAUUUUUUAAAAUAACAACAUUCCGAUCCAUUUUUCAGAAACAUGUGUUAUCGUUGUAACAUUUUUUGGAAAAACAAUAUCGCGGUCAUUUAUUGAAUGUCCACACUCCACAUAUUUGACGUUGAUUAUAUGAAGAUCAAUUCUCCUAUGGGCGAGCGUGACCUCCUCCCCCACAAAAAACUGAAAAAUCGUUUGCGUAUGUCAUGUAAAAUUCCUCGUAAUAUGAGUCAUGCGUGUGCCCCAAACGAGGAGUUACGUGUCACGAUUAAAUAAAAAAAAACUAAUCACCUG